RNAcentral lists this ribosomal RNA (508 nucleotides) under uncultured bacterium. Its description in RNAcentral is "bacterial SSU rRNA". It matches the Rfam family "Bacterial small subunit ribosomal RNA", at positions 19 to 518 of the family's 1533-position model. The record is from RNAcentral.
CUGGCUCAGGAUGAACGCUAGCUACAGGCUUAACACAUGCAAGUCGAGGGGCAGCAUGUGGUUGCUGCAACCAAUGAUGGCGACCGGCGCACGGGUGAGUAACGCGUAUCCAACUUCCCCUUAGUAGAGGAUAGCCCGGCGAAAGUCGGAUUAAUACUCUAUGUUCUUCAAUGCGGACAUCUAAGUUGAAGCAAAGAUUUAUCGCUAAGGGAUGGGGAUGCGUCUGAUUAGGUUGCAGGCGGGGUAACGGCCCACCUGGCCUACGAUCAGUAGGGGUUCUGAGAGGAAGGUCCCCCACACUGGUACUGAGACACGGACCAGACUCCUACGGGAGGCAGCAGUGAGGAAUAUUGGUCAAUGGGCGCGAGCCUGAACCAGCCAAGUAGCGUGCAAGGACGACUGCCCUAUGGGUUGUAAACUGCUUUUAUCAGGGAAUAAAGUGAGGCACGCGUGCCUUUUUGUAUGUACCUGGUGAAUAAGGACCGGCUAAUUCCGUGCCAGCCGCUGC